UGGGGCAGCAGGCUACUACCUUCGGGUAGUAGUGCUGGCGACCGGCAAACGGGUGAGUAACACGUAGCUUACCUACCCAUAGGUUGGGGAUAACAUCCCGAAAGGGGUGCUAAUACCCAAUAAUGAGGAGACUCCAAAGCCCUUAUGGGCGCCUAUGGAUGGGGCUGCGUCCCAUCAGCUAGUUGGUGAGGUAAUGGCUCACCAAGGCUACGACGGGUAACCGGUCUGAGAGGAUGACCGGUCACAGUGGGACUGAGACACGGCCCGCACCCCUACGGGGGGCAGCAGUGGGGAAUAUUGGGCAAUGGCCGAAAGGCUGACCCAGCAACGCCGCGUGGUGGAUGAAGCCCUUCGGGGUGUAAACACCUUUUCUGGGGGAAGAUAAUGACGGUACCCCAGGAAUAAGGGACGGCUAACUACGUGCCAGCAGCCGCGGUAAUACGUAGGUCCCGAACGUUGCGCGAAUUUACUGGGCGUAAAGGGUCCGUAGGCGGUUUAGCAAGUGGUUGGUGAAAUUUCACGGCUCAACCGUGAAACUGCCUUCCAAACUGCUAAACUUGAGGCAGGGAGAGGUCGGCGGAAUUCCCGGUGUAGCGGUGAAAUGCGUAGAUAUCGGGAGGAACACCAGUGGCGAAGGCGGCCCGACUGGAACUGUCCUGACGCUGAGGGACGAAAGCUAGGGGAGCAAACCGGAUUAGAUACCCGGGUAGUCCUAGCCGUAAACGAUGGAUGCUAGAUGUGGGCUACGAAAGUAGUCCGUGCCGUAAGCUAACGCGUUAAGCAUCCCGCCUGGGAAGUACGGCCGCAAGGUUGAAACUCAAAGGCAUUGACGGGGACCCGCACAACCGGUGGAGCGUCUGGUUUAAUUCGAUGCUAACCGAAUAACCUCACCAGGGUAUGACAUGCGGUGUGUCGGGUAUGAAAGUACCCUAGGCUAUGAUUAUUCAUAGCCGCGCCGCACAGGUGGCGCAUGGUCGUCGUCAGCUCGUGUCGUGAGAUGCUGGGUUAAGUCCCGCAACGAGCGCAACCUUUGUCCUGUGUUACCAGCGGGUAAUGCCGGGUACUCACAGGAGACUGCCGUCGAUAAGCCGGAGGGAGGAGGGGAUGACGUCAGAUCAGUAUGCCCUUU
Molecule: ribosomal RNA, 1129 nt
Filed under: uncultured Hydrogenothermus sp.
Lineage: Bacteria; Pseudomonadati; Aquificota; Aquificia; Aquificales; Hydrogenothermaceae
Description: bacterial SSU rRNA
Rfam family: Bacterial small subunit ribosomal RNA
Source: RNAcentral